GACGAACGCUGGCGGCGCGCCUAACACAUGCAAGUCGAACGAGCGAGAGAGAGCUUUCUUUCUUGAGCGAGUGGCGAACGGGUGAGUAACGCGUGAGGAACCUGCCUCAAAGAGGGGGACAACAUUUGGAAACGACUGCUAAUACCGCAUAAGCCCACUGUGCCGCAUGGCAGAGAUGGAAAAGCAGCAAUCCGGUUUGAGAUUGCCUCGCGUCCGAUUAGCUAGUUGGUGUGGUAACUGCCCACCAAGGCGACGAACGGUAGCCGGGCUGAGAGGCUGCACCGCCACAUUGGGACUAAGACACGGACCAGACUCCUAGGGGAGGCAGCAGUGGAGAAUAUUGCACAAUGGGGGAAAACCUGAUGCAGCGACGCCGCGUGGAGGAAGAAGGUCUUCGGAUUGUAAACUCAUGUUGUUGGGGAAGAUAAUGACGGUACCCAACAAGGAAGUGACGGCUAACUACGUG
This 466-nucleotide ribosomal RNA is filed under the name uncultured bacterium. RNAcentral's name for it is "partial 16S ribosomal RNA". It matches the Rfam family "Bacterial small subunit ribosomal RNA", at positions 28 to 507 of the family's 1533-position model. The record is from RNAcentral.